AACGAUCUGCCUGGUUUAACUGACACAGAGAAGCCAAGGAUGAGGGGUCCCAAAAGGGCCUCCAAGAUCAGGAAGCUGUUCAAUCUUGCAAAGGAUGACGACGUGCGCAAGUACGCGAACACGUACCGCAGGACAUUCACUACCAAGAAUGGCAAGAAGGUGAGCAAGGCACCUAAGAUCCAGCGGCUUGUGACCCCCUUGACCUUCCAGAGGAAGCGUGCUAGAAUUGCUGACAAGAAGAAGAGGAUCGCUAAGAAGAAGUCUGAGGCUGCUGAGUACCAGAAGCUUCUUGCCCAGAGGCUGAAGGAACAGAGGGACCGCCGCAGUGAGAGCUUGGCCAAGAGGAGGUCUAAGCUUUCUGCUGCCGCCAAGGCUUCUGCUGCCACCUCUGCCUAAGAAUGUUCAGUGCUUUGAGAUGUUUUCAAGGCCUAUUUUGUUACAGCUUAUAAGUACCUUAUGCUGCCCUGGAUGUGUUGCAUCAGUCGAUCCUCCCUACUUAGACUUAUGAGUAAUUGUUGCAAUUUUGUAUGGACAUGGUACUGGCUUGUCGGGAUUUUUUGAGUACCAGAGGUUUGCUAUGUUGUUUUAUUCUGUGAACGUCA
RNA transcript from Zea mays, 602 nucleotides. It is a transcript of the gene named ribosomal protein eS6 pseudogene, with no coding region annotated. NCBI's taxonomy places the organism in Eukaryota, Viridiplantae, Streptophyta, Magnoliopsida, Poales, Poaceae. The transcript has 2 exons. The record is from RefSeq and is marked validated.